RNAcentral lists this microRNA precursor (60 nucleotides) under Xenopus laevis (African clawed frog). RNAcentral describes it as "microRNA xla-mir-206 precursor". Its record names the gene xla-mir-206. It matches the Rfam family "mir-1 microRNA precursor family", at positions 10 to 70 of the family's 79-position model. From Rfam's summary of the family: This family represents the microRNA (miRNA) mir-1 family. miRNAs are transcribed as ~70nt precursors (modelled here) and subsequently processed by the Dicer enzyme to give a ~22nt product. RNAcentral also lists the same sequence under 1 other name. The record is from miRBase by way of RNAcentral. Lineage: Eukaryota; Metazoa; Chordata; Amphibia; Anura; Pipidae.
ACAUGCUUCUUUAUAUACCCAUAUGAACUACAUUGUUAUGGAAUGUAAGGAAGUGUGUGG